This 588-nucleotide ribosomal RNA is filed under the name Bacillus sp. CH355c_12D. Its description in RNAcentral is "bacterial SSU rRNA". It matches the Rfam family "Bacterial small subunit ribosomal RNA", at positions 58 to 629 of the family's 1533-position model. Lineage: Bacteria; Bacillati; Bacillota; Bacilli; Caryophanales; Bacillaceae. The record is from RNAcentral.
CAAGUCGAGCGGACGGAUGGGAGCUUGCUCCCUGAAGUCAGCGGCGGACGCGUGAGUAACACGUGGGCAACCUGCCUGUAAGACUGGGAUAACCUCGGGAAACCGGAGCUAAUACCGGAUAAUGCACAGCCUCUCAUGAGGCUAUGCUGAAAGAUGGUUUCGGCUAUCACUUACAGAUGGGCCCGCGGCGCAUUAGCUAGUUGGUGAGGUAACGGCUCACCAAGGCAACGAUGCGUAGCCGACCUGAGAGGGUGAUCGGCCACACUGGGACUGAGACACGGCCCAGACUCCUACGGGAGGCAGCAGUAGGGAAUCUUCCGCAAUGGACGAAAGUCUGACGGAGCAACGCCGCGUGAGUGAUGAAGGUUUUCGGAUCGUAAAACUCUGUUGUCAGGGAAGAACAAGUGCCGGAGUAACUGCCGGCACCUUGACGGUACCUGACCAGAAAGCCACGGCUAACUACGUGCCAGCAGCCGCGGUAAUACGUAGGUGGCAAGCGUUGUCCGGAAUUAUUGGGCGUAAAGCGCGCGCAGGCGGUCUCUUAAGUCUGAUGUGAAAGCCCACGGCUCAACCGUGGAGGGUCAUUGG